RNAcentral lists this ribosomal RNA (440 nucleotides) under uncultured bacterium. Its description in RNAcentral is "partial 16S ribosomal RNA". It matches the Rfam family "Bacterial small subunit ribosomal RNA", at positions 338 to 795 of the family's 1533-position model. The record is from RNAcentral.
CCUACGGGAGGCAGCAGUGGGGAAUAUUGCACAAUGGGGGAAACCCUGAUGCAGCGACGCCGCGUGAAGGAAGAAGUAUCUCGGUAUGUAAACUUCUAUCAGCAGGGAAGAAAAUGACGGUACCUGACUAAGAAGCCCCGGCUAACUACGUGCCAGCAGCCGCGGUAAUACGUAGGGGGCAAGCGUUAUCCGGAUUUACUGGGUGUAAAGGGAGCGUAGACGGAAGAGCAAGUCUGAUGUGAAAGGCUGGGGCUUAACCCCAGGACUGCAUUGGAAACUGUUUUUCUAGAGUGCCGGAGAGGUAAGCGGAAUUCCUAGUGUAGCGGUGAAAUGCGUAGAUAUUAGGAGGAACACCAGUGGCGAAGGCAGCCCCCUGGGACGCAACUGACGCUCAUACACGAAAGCGUGGGGAGCAAACAGGAUUAGAUACCCUAGUAGUC